GCGGCAGGCCUAAUACAUGCAAGUCGAACGGUAACAGGUUCUAAAGCAAUUUAGAAUGCUGACGAGUGGCAAACGGGUGAGUAAUACAUAUGAACUUUCUCUAAGCAGAGGAUAGCCAGUCGAAAGAUUGGGUAAUACUCUAUGUGGCCGAAAGGUUAAAGUUUAAUACACUUAGAGUGAGGCAUAUGCCCCAUCAGCUAGUUGGUAAGGUAAUGGCUUACCAAGGCUAAGACGGGUAGCUGGACUGAGAGGUUGAUCAGCCACACUGGGACUGCGACACGGCCCAGACAUCUACGGAUGGCAGCAGUAGGGAAUUUUCCGCAAUGGGCGAAAGCCUGACGGAGCCAUGCCGCGUGCAGGAUGACGGCCCUAUGGGUUGUAAACUGCUGUGGUAGCCUACCAAAAAAAUGAGGAGGCUAUUAGAAAGAGGUUGCUAACUCUGUGCCAGCAGCAGCGGUAAUACAGAGACCUCGAGCGUUAUCCGGUAUCACUGGGCGUAAAGCGUACCGAUCGGUUGUUUAGUGUGUCUAAAGUGAAAGACCGAAGCCUAACUUCGUGUUUGCUUUGGAAACUACUAAACUUGAAGGGCAAAGAGGUGGUUGGAACUCUGCAAGUAGGGGUGAAAUCCGUUGAUAUGCAGGGGAACACCAAAAGCGAAGGCAGACCACUAGGUGCCUCUUGACACUGCUAGGACGAAAGCGUGGGGAGAGAACGGGAUUAGAUACCCCGGUAUUCCACGCCCUAAACGAUGAGUGCUAGUUUUUGGGGAAAGUUAAUCUUCCUCGGAGACAAAGCUAACGCAUUAAGCACUCCGCCUGUAGAGUACGAGCGCAAGCUUAAAACAUAAAGGAAUUGACGGGAACCCGCACAAGCGGUGGAUCAUGUGGCUUAAUUCGAUAAUAAGCGAGGAACCUCACCUAGGUUUGACAUGCAACUGCACGACUAAUGAAAGUUAGUUUCUUUCGAAGGUGUUGCACAGAUGAUGCACGGUCGUCGUCAGCUCGUGUCGUGAGAUGUUCGGUUAAGUCCGGUAACGAGCGCAACCCCAAUCCUUAGUUAUUUAAUGUCUAAGGAGACUGCCCGAGCUUAAUCGGGGGGAAGGCUGGGAUGACGUCAGAUCAGCGUGUCUCUUACAUCU
Molecule: ribosomal RNA, 1138 nt
Filed under: uncultured organism
Description: bacterial SSU rRNA
Rfam family: Bacterial small subunit ribosomal RNA
Source: RNAcentral